UGGGGUGACGUAGAACGGUCCUACACUUCGCUGUAAACGAAGCGUCUCUGACAGAGUGGGUUCGACUCCCUCCAUCCCAA
RNAcentral lists this transfer RNA (80 nucleotides) under Sterigmatomyces sp. Its description in RNAcentral is "tRNA-Tyr". It matches the Rfam family "tRNA". Rfam says of the family: Transfer RNA (tRNA) molecules are approximately 80 nucleotides in length. Their secondary structure includes four short double-helical elements and three loops (D, anti-codon, and T loops). The record is from RNAcentral. Lineage: Eukaryota; Fungi; Basidiomycota; Agaricostilbomycetes; Agaricostilbales; Agaricostilbaceae.